UUUUCAUUUCAAUUUUGUUUACUGACUUUACAACAAAAUUGUAUGUAUUUAGUAUGCAGUUACGUGUUUCCACUGAGCGAUCGUCCUGUCUGGACCACAUUCUCUUAAGGUGUUUUACAAAACUUGCCACUGGGAUUUCGCCCUUUUAGCCCCUAUGGCCCCUAAGGGCCCCGUGAAUCCACGAGUGGCAAGAUGAUUAUGGGUCGACAUGAAAUCGACCAACAUCUGCAUUUGAAUUUUAUUGCUUCAUUAUUGCUUCUUGAUCUGAAUAAAACACAAAUAUUUGUCAAAUAAUUGACGAUAGAAUUAGAAGAAUAACGACACGUUAAAAAUACACUGAGCGAUUUCUUGGGAGAAUAAGUUUCGUUUUUCAUUUGUUUCAAGUUUCAUUUCAAUAUUUCUCAAUUUGGAGUAACCUGCGAUGAAUGUUGUCAAUUUGGCGUAUUCGGAUACUGAUUGUUGGAAAACUGGUUGAAUGAUGGAGUAAGCUGCGAUGAAUGUUGUCGAUUUGGCGUAUUCGGAUACUGAUUAUUGGAAAACUGGUUGAAUGAUGGAGUAAGCUGCGAUGAAUGUUGUCAAUUUGGCGUAUUCGGAUACUGAUUAUUGGAAAACUGGUUGAAUGAUGGAGUAAGCUGCGAUGAAUGUUGUCAAUUUGGCGUAUUCGGAUACUGAUUAUUGGAAAACUGGUUGAAUGAUGGAGUAAGCUGCGAUGAAUGUUGUCAAUUUGGCGUAUUCGGAUAACAUUAUUGGAAAACUGAUUGAUUAAUGAAGAUUGUAGGUUCGGGUAUUGAACACGUUGCGUAAGAUGCUUUAUUUCAGUAUCUGUCACUACCUGACAUACUUUUAGUCUAAUCUCAGCCUGCAAAUGAGGUGGCAAUUUAUCCGCAAUAUCGGCCAUUGAUUCGAAAAACUUUUGCAUAGAUGAUUUAUGUUCCGAUGGUUUAUUUAUAAUCUUGUCAUACAAAGCUGACCGCUGAGCAUCUCUUUUGGCGAAAAUUUUCAUAAGAGGUUAAGACGAAUUUCUUUUUGUAGCUCGCCUUUUAUUUUGCGGAACAGUAAUUUCGUCAGCGUUCAGAAAAUCAUAUUUAGUUCUUUGCCAAAAAAGUUCAAAAAAGUUAAUGGAAAAAUUGAAUAGACGUGGGAAGCAUGAGCUGGCCUGCUUUCGUCUAUCAGAGACGGAGAUGACAAUUCUGAUACGUGGUUUAGUUCUCAUACACAGGGAACGAAAUUUGAACAGGUAAAACCGGUUGGUCGAUCUCGUUUUGUAAUGUUUCCGGUAAAGGUCUUUCAGAUAUAAUUGAAGGAGCAUAGGCAUCUUCGGGUAUAACUUCAGGAUCAAGAGGGUAUAAGCCAGUGGCUUUGAAUCCAUUUGUUAUAUUGGUUUGAGUUAUACAUUUCGGCCAUGUUCGCGAGAAAAUUUUAAAUGCAACUUUAUUAAAGUUCUCUCUAGAGAAUUGCAAAGGUAGUUCAACACUUCUUCAUCCCAGUGAUGUUCGAAGGAUCGAUUAACUGAUUUGUCUAGAGGUUGGAGUUCGUGCGUAGUGUUCGAAGGUAAGUAAUACAGCACUUUAUUAUUUUUAUCUGCUUCUUUCAGAGCCUCAUAUGUUAAAUGACACUUUCCACCAUCAAAGAUAAGCAGACACUUACCGGGUGCUAUAUGUUGAGCAAAAUGUCUAGUAGGGUAGGUAGAGUCGAAAGAAAAAAUAAAAAAUUAAAGCGAAUCUAUGGUAUGGCCAUAGAUGCUAUGGUAGCUAUAGGUUGGCGUUGGUCGGGAAUUCCCCGUUUCCUGUGCUACGACAAGAAUAUAGGUACAGUGCCCGGCGACCGGCAAACUACUUGAGUAUUGACGCGAUUGGCUGUAGAAUGGCGGGUGCGCACGAUUGGUUCAUCAGACGACGCGAGUGCACGCGAUUGGUUGAUACGUCGACUUUCUCUUCCUGGAUUCGCCAAACUUCUCCCACUACGCUGCUGCAGGUCCAAGUUGUUUGGCCGGGCACAGGGCACUAUACUACAGUCCGUUCACAGUUAAUUUACCUCUGACAUUUGGUCCCGUUAGGUUGGCACUACUUGCUGUCAAGUGUAUCGGUCGUUUUGUCAGCUCCUCUGUUUAAUCUAUUGUUUCGGUGAUUAUUUAAUCGUUUAACAUGCCGAAAAGGAUUCAAAGCAGUGGCAGAAAAAUAGUGCCAUCCGUGCGUGAUUUUUGUGAAAGGAAAAAGGCAAAUAAUGCCCCUCUUAUCCCAUUUGAAAAUGUUCGUAAACGUGUAGCUGCUAUGACAGGUAUAUCUGAGAAAACCGUCAGUACCAUUACUAAAGAAGGUGAGGUUGCAGCUUCUACAUCACAAAACAUUUCUUUACCUAGAAAAAAACGCAACCAACGAAAGAAAAUUCAGUUAGAUGAUUUUGAUCUAUGUGCCAUCAGGAAUAAAAUACACUUUAUGUACACAGUCCGAAAAGAGGUACCGACUUUGAAAAAGCUAUUAUCUGAGUUGAAAAUUGACAUAAACUUUAAUGGCGGUCGGACUACUUUAUGGAAAAUUAUUCGCCAAAUAGGAUUUCGUUUUAAAAAAUGUGGCUCCAAAAGAAAAUUACUUAUGGAACGACAUGAAAUUGUAGCUUGGAGACACCGAUAUUUAAACGUUUUGAGAAAAAAUCGUACUGAAGGCCGACCUGUCGCAUUUCUCGAUGAGACCAUACACGCUUCGUACUCUGUUAAAAAAUGUUGGCAAACUGGGGAUGAGCAAGGUGUUCUAACAAACGAUUCUACUGGUGCGCAUUGGAUUAUUGUUCAUGCAGGUGGUGAAAUGGGUUUCAUACCAAACGCGCAAUUAAUAUUCAAAUCUCAAACAAAAUCGGGAGAUUACCAUGAUGACAUGAACAAAACAAAUUUUAUGAAAUGGUUACAGGAAAAAUUGAUACCUAAUUUACCACCUAACAGUUUAAUCGUCAUGGAUAAUGCACCUUAUCACACUGUUAGGGUAAAUAAGGCGCCCACAACAAGCUCUUCUAAAGCCGAUAUGCAAAAUUGGAUAACAAAUAAAGGAUUAUCUUAUCUGCCUACUAUGGUUAAAGCUCAACUUUAUGAAAUUAUAAAGGAGCAUAAAGAAGCUCCGAUAUACGAGGCUGACCAAUUGCUUGAGGCUCAUGGACAUAAUGUGGCUAGAUUACCACCCUACCACUGUGAGUUGAACGCUAUCGAGUUUAUGUGGAGUCUUGUAAAAAGGCGAGUAGCCAUUAAUAACGUAGGGCAGGAAGCAGGUAACAUUGUAAAAUUAACCGAAGAAUCAUUUGAAUCUAUUACGCGCAAGAAUAUUGGGCCCGAGUCAAGAAAAGUGUUGAUUUAUGUUCAUUCUCUAUCUUUACUUUAUUUGUUAAGGCACUGCGAGCAACCUGUUGUAUAAUUAUUAUUCGUUUAUUAAUUAUUAUUAACGUACAUUUAACUGUAAAUAAUAAUUGAACAGGGAAGUAGUAAAAAUCAAAAAUGGCAACACAGAGCUCACGCUAGCCAAUCUUACAGCCAGAGGUAAAAUAACUGUGAACGAACUAUACUCUCUAACGGUAACGAGAAGACGAACGACGACAGAAUCCUUACUAAACUAAAAUAGUACGCGCUGGCGCUACUUGUAUUCUAGCUUGUGUUCUUUUAUUAAAACUUUGGCGGUGGACCCAAAUAGAGGUCCAAUAACAAACACCGCUGAGGUUUCAUAUAGUAUAUAUUAUAUUUAGCUUUACACUUGUGAGAACUUGUUACAUGUCGAUGAAAUUCACACAAUUAAUUAAAGUUAGGUAUAGAAUUAAGACCAAAUAUGCAUGAGUCAUCAAUCGAACCAAAAAAGCGGUAGAAGUGACGUGUGAAACGUCAGUUAUUGACACUAAUGGAUAGGUUACACAGUGCGAGGAACUGAUGUGACAGUAGACAGCUACUGUGUCUAUCCCAAGUAACAAAAAGUGGUCUUGUAGUGGUUCCGGAGCCAGGUCUAUAACAGGCUAGUAAAAGUUUAUAACCACAGAAAAGGGCCCAUUUUAUACGCGUACUUUUGCUAAUAAAACACUCAUAGUAGACUUGGCGAGCACCACUUAGAUCAAUAAUACACUUAUAGUUGGACUACGCAGAACUAUUUGCUCCUGCGAAGCCAGCUAUGAGCAUCUAACAGAACCAGCCACCACGACUUAAGCCCAUAAUACACUUAUAGUUAGACUCCGGAGAACCAUUUGCUCCCGCGAAGCUCACUAUUAGCAUUUAAUAGAACCAGACAGGCGUGUAACGUACUCCGCGCUUCUAUUACUAGCUACUUCAAACAUUUGUGAAUUGUUAUUGUGUUAUGUUGUGCGGUCGUGGAGAAAAAUAAAAAAAAUAAAAGGUAAGUUCAUCUAUUAUAUAUAAAAUAUAUUAAUAAGUAUUUCGCACGAAAUAUUAUACGUGCAUACGUGUGUGCACGGCAAACGCGUAAGUAUUUUCGGUGAAGUAUAUUGUGUUUUACAUCUCAAUUUUUGUUCGCCUUUUGAACACGGCGUAUUUACAAAGUUGUGUUUAAAAAUAAUAUUAGUCCUAACAGCAUUGUCGCGCCAUAUUGUGACGAAUUAGAGUUCCGCACACAAAUGUCUUAAAUGCUUGCUAAACUAAGAGUUUAUUAUUUUUAUGUUUUAGUUGUGACUUGGAUCGAACUACUAUGGUCAUAUUUCUAGACGUAGACCGUUUUUUGACUAAAAAUGAUAUCCGAGCCUUAAAAACUGCGAGAUGGCCUUGGAUUGAAACUCAUUUCUUGUUAUCUCGCAAUUGCCAUGGUUGUGGCAAGAGAGUUUCAACAUAUUCUGGAGAAAGGCCAGUUCAUAUUGUUUUGAAGGAAGAACACAUAAAAUUAUUGUUAAACGAAAAAAAAUUUUGGUGUGAAAAUUGCAACUUCGCCGUUUAUGACCAUUUCACUAGUGACGAAUGUGAACUAGGUAAUUAAUUUUAUUACUUCAUUUCAUAAAUAUUUUUUAAAGAUUGUAAUUGCUGCUUGGUGGAAAUCAUCCGUAAAUAUACUAGAUAAGUAUUUCUAGGGUUUAACCUGUGGUAUAACUGCGGGGAAUCCCUGUGUUAUGUAGGUAAUGUUUGAACUGAAGUUAGCCGCGCGCGCGGGAUAGCUGGCGCGGCGCUCGCUCGCCAGUCGCAUGCCGCGUGCGUGUCUGUUCUUGUUCAGUAAGCUCUUAGUUAGCUGUGCUAAUGUGAUGACGGCGGACGUGCGUGAAUAAUAUUGAGCAAUAAUUUUUCGUUUACAUCACAAAGGUUGAUGUUAUGCACUGCUUACUUAACCUGUUCAUCUGACGCCCACUAGCACCAAAGAUAAACCACCGGCGCCGGUUAACCGAACUUUGACAACAUCAUACCAUAGGAACAUAUUUUGGGAUAAGUAUUGGUGCAGGUGGGAACUAAGGACUAAAAUUUCAAUUGUUCUUGCAUCUUGACUCAUGACGCCUUGCGUACCUGAACCGGUGCUUUUCUUAGUGCUUACGUUCGUCCCUAAUAUUCUACCUAUAUCGUUUAAGCAAAAUUGUAUUACGUGCAAAUUAACUUGUGUGCGUUUCACAAGUGAGCUCUCUUUUCGUUAUGUUGGCAGCAUGCGAAAUUGUUCGAAAAUAAUCCGUAGGCUCAUGUAAUAAGGACGUUCAUUAAAGAAUGGGCAUAAGGACGUCCUUAUUGCAUCUCCAUACAGAUUAUUUUUGGACAAUUCGCAAUGCUGCCAAUAUAACGGAGCUCUAUGUAAACUAUUGCAUCUGUCUCCGUAAGUUCGUUCGGUUUGUUUCUUAUGGUUUGAUGUAUUAUAAAAUGUAUUUAUAGUUACAUGUAUUUUUUUACAGAUUCCUGCCAUGCCUUUCUCAGUAGUGCAAACAAUUGAAAAAGGCGAAUUAAGAUUAACGGCCGUACCAGAUCUGUGGGUGCAUAAUAAAUUACUUUUUUGGCCAAAGAAGUCAGCAGAUAAAUUAAGGAGGCAGGAAAAUAGUUCACCUGAUGCUUCUUGGGAAAUCAUGUCAUGUGAUGUAAAAAGAAAAAAUCUUAAAACAUUUCAAGAGGCACAGGAUGAAAUUGAUACAAUGAGUGACAAAUCAGAUACUGAAACUGACGAAGGAGAUACGAACCGUCGAUCAUUACGCAAGGAAAAAUAUCCCUUGCCAGAUAAAUCUUUCAACGAAUUGGCGAAGACUUUAACAGAUAAUCAUAAUCAAAUGCUAAGUACCACAACACCAGUCACUCAAGUAGCCCAGAAAUCCCAAGAAGACACAAAUUGCUGUUUUGUGCCCCAAGACCAGAUUGUUGGUACAGUCGAGGGCAAUAUUCCUGUCACAAUUCCGGAAUCGAAUUUCCUCUUUUAUACACAUACAGAACCGGAAAUUUCAACACCAACUAACGAGAUUGAAGCUAUUAAGGAGAGCAUAGCAACCAUUAUAGCCAAUCAAAAUUCCUUACAUGAAAUCCAAACUAAUAUGUGUGUAAAGAUCUCAGAAAUACAAACAGAGCUAAGAUCAUUCAUAAAAAUGAGCGUAUCACAAAAAAGAGUUGACGAAGAGCCAACUCUAAUAAAAAAUAUCAAAGACCUUGAGGAAUUUGAAAAAAAUCUAUCAAAUAGAACAUUCAAAGAUAACAUGUUGAUGAAAUUUGUCGGUGUGUGUUCUAAAGGUUUGGGCAAAGGCGGCGUAAAUGCCUACCACUUGGUCGAUUCUUUGUUUGAAAGAAAUUUUCUUAAGCAAUGUACGUGGACUGGCUUUUCCAAGAAAGAAGCAGUAAAAAUAUGUUUUAAAGCGUUUACGAGAACGAUUUCUCUUUUUUUUGAUAUUAUCCACGCAACAGAUGAAAGUUUUACAAAAGUGGACUGCGAUAAAUUUUUUAAAACUAUUUUGAAAAAUGCUCAUAAACGCAGCGAAAGCAAUCAGAGGAUGUCGGCUCCAAAAGUUAGAGUAAUAAAGAGAAAAAGGACAGCAAAAACUCUUCCAAUAGAUGUGCCGAUUGAGAAUGUUAACGGAGAGGGCUCCGGUCAAAACAGCGUCGAGACUCCCGAUUUAAACAAUGAAGAGAGAUCUGACCAAAAUGAUGUUGAGAUUUUCUAUCAAAGUGAUGAAGAGAGGCCUGAUAAAACGACGAAGGGAUGUCCGACUAAUUGAGUACGUAGUUAAUGUUUUCAUAUAAUGUUUACACACCUACAUUUGGUAACUCGAUUCAUUUUUUGUCGCUGAUUUUUGAAUAAUCCUAGAUUAGGUGGGAAUAAUUAAUUAUUGAUGGUGAUAUUACUUAACAAGAGGUUAAGUUUUCAUAGUUGUUAUUUCUAAGUUUAUUUUAAAGUUCCUUUGGUAGCUAAGACUUGUUGGUUGAAUAAAAGAGCACCUAUUUAACUAAACGUGAAAAAAGUGAUUUUUGAUGUACCUAUAUAACAAAAUUUUGUAUUGUAGUACUUAUACCUAAAAUUAAAAAGCAAACAAGCUAUGUAGAAAAUAGUAGUACCAAUAGUAAAAGCUGUUUGUAUUGAUGAAUGCUAUCAUCUGCUUAUGGGAUCAAAACCUUCGAAACGGGUUGGAAGAUUUUUGUGUGGAGCCUGAGGGGUUGCGUCCCACCUACAACUUUUCUUGUGAAAAGUCGUAGCCAUUGAUGGAACUUCCAUAAAUCGAUAGAUUGUUUCAAUACGAAUCGAAACUGAAGAGUGAUAAAAUCUCUUAAAGUGUCACAUUUCCGAGAUACAGGCCAUCAAACGUUCUAAUAUUGGAGUUUUGAAACUUUUGACAGCCUUUACCUUGGAAAUGUGAGAUUUUAUCACUCUUUAGUUUCAAUUUGUAUUAAAGCGAACUAUCGAGUUAUGGAAGUUCCAUCAAUGGCUGCGACUUUUCACAAAAAAGUUGUAGGUAGGCCGGGCCCAACCUAGGCCAAAUGCUGUUUUUACCAUAGUUUUGUAUAUUUUUUUUAAUUUGUUGGAAUUGUGAGUUUUGUUCAUUAAUUUUUAAGCACAUAAUUUUUUAAUGUUAAAUUUUUUAACUUUUUUUGUUUAACCUACAACUAUAGAGUAUUUCGUUAGCAUAACUUAGUAAUCUGACGAAUUUUGGCUAUUAAUUUUAAAGUCACGUUUGGUUAGUCAAAAAUUAUAUUUAUUUUUAUCUAUAUGUAAGCAUAAAUAAAGGAAAGGAAGUAUUUGAUACACAAGAUACUGAAGGACUUGUAAUUGUGAUAAAUGAUUGUGACUGUUUCUUGUCAAUAUGCUAAAGGAAAGGAACGUGAUUACCUCAUUGAUUAUACCUUUUAAGAUUGAUUUUGGUCUCGCUUUAAGAUUAUUGUAAUAAAAAAAAUUGUUAUUGAAAUAAUAAAACUUUAAUUUUGAUUA
Maniola jurtina (meadow brown) is the source of this 8342-nucleotide RNA transcript. RefSeq lists it as uncharacterized. The transcript has 3 exons. The record is from RefSeq and is a predicted model, not a curated record. NCBI's taxonomy places the organism in Eukaryota, Metazoa, Arthropoda, Insecta, Lepidoptera, Nymphalidae.